AUGGCUCAGUGGUCAGAGCUAUCGGCCUAAAAACUGAAGGGUCCCGGGUUCGAUUCCCGGU
Molecule: non-coding RNA, 61 nt
Organism: Myotis davidii
Lineage: Eukaryota; Metazoa; Chordata; Mammalia; Chiroptera; Vespertilionidae
Source: Rfam